UGGGUGUAAAGGGUGUGUAGACGGUAUAUUAAGUUUGUUGUUAAAUCCUCUGGCCUAACCAGAGGCUUGCGAUGAAAACUAAUAAACUUGAGGAUGGAAGAGAGAAGCGGAAUUCUCGGAGUAGCGGUAAAAUGCGUAGAUCUCGAGAGGAACACCGAUGGCGAAGGCAGCUUCUUGGUCCAUUCCUGACGUUGAGACACGAAAGCGUGGGGAGCAAACAGGAUUAGAUACCCUGGUAGUCCACGCUGUAAACGAUGAUCACUGGAUGUCAGUUUUGCUUUGCAAAAUUGGUAUCGAAGCUAACGCGUUAAGUGAUCCACCUGGGAACUACGAUCGCAAGAUUAAAACUCAAAGGAAUUGACGGGGGUCCGCACAAGCGGUGGAACACGUGGUUUAAUUCGACACUACGCGAGAAACCUUACCUGGGCUUGACAUGCUUUUGACAGCUGUAGAAAUACAGUCUUUUGAACUUCGGUUCAGACAGAUGCACAGGUGCUGCAUGGCU
RNAcentral lists this ribosomal RNA (505 nucleotides) under uncultured bacterium. Its description in RNAcentral is "bacterial SSU rRNA". It matches the Rfam family "Bacterial small subunit ribosomal RNA", at positions 555 to 1050 of the family's 1533-position model. The record is from RNAcentral.